CUUCGUUUUUAGCUGACAUUCUGAAAAAGGUGUGUACCGUGUUUACUCGCAAUUUGCAUGAUUAAUAACAGAUAUCGACUCGUUACCCGGACUACUGCAAACAACAAUUAUUCAGUUAACUGAUUUAGAUGGACAUGAUGGAAGGUAAACGGACAGAAAGUCGCAGGACAAAAAGUCACAGGACAUAAAGUCACAAAUUUGAUAGGACAAAAAGUCACAGGACAAAAAGUCACAAACAAUUUGUUGACAAUUGGUUUGAGUAUAUAUGAAAAAGAUCUUGAAAUAUUUUCUUUUUAUUACAUACAUUCAUUUUUAAUUUAAGGAAAUUGCUCAUAAAGCUUAAUUGAUAAACAUAAUAAAUGGAAAUGUAUUAGAUUUUAAUCUUGCAAAGGAUAUAUUUAUGGGGCCAUAUUUAUUGGCAAAUUGAAGCCAUUUAAGUACCAAGCCACUUUGACAUUUUGUUUUCAUAACAAUUAUUUGAUUAUUAUUGAUAUUUAUUGAAUAAAUUUUAAUUACUAAGUUGCUUCUUAUAUAAAACUUCAAGAAAAAUACAAAAAAAAGUGUUUUCUUGUUCAAAGAAAAAUAAUCUCUAAACUGAAUUGUGACUUUUUGUCUGUGACUUGUUGACCGUGACUUUUUGUCCUGUGACUUUCUGUCCUACAUUCAGAUUAAAUAGGGGUUUGGUUGACCCCGUCUCCUCUUUCUGAGACUACUAUCUCAGUGAUGAACUUAAUGGUUUAUGUAUUGUGCUUGUCAUAUAUGUAUCUUGCAUAAAAGCUCUAGAGCUUAUGUUGUAUUGUAUGUAUAACCAACUUUAAAAAAAAUCUUUUUUGUUUAGCCUGUAACAACUAACGAGUAAGAUUUAGGUUUCUUAUUUUUGUAUUACAAACAAUUAUUACGCCUUGAAAGGAUUUUGACGGCGUCCAAGAAAAAAGUUGAAAUAGCUAACGUAACGGUACCCAAAUUGCACCUAUUUAGCAACACUAGCAGCGAAAAUCUUACAAGAUUUUCUAGACUAAACAAUUUGUUUUUUUAUGAUUUGAUACUAAGCACAUCUUUCAACAUAGGUAAAACUAUUUAGAUAUGCACAAAACGUUCACAGUAUCUAUCAACAGAUGAAGUAUUUACUGAAAAAGGAAAAUGUACUGAAACGUAGCCAUGCGACGUCAUCAAAACGUCAUCUUUUUAAAAUGAGCAAAUACAAUAUGUUACAAGUAUCCAUUUAAAAAAUAAUCAUGAUAAUGAAGAGUAAGCAUGGACUAAUAUCCAAUUGUUCAAAAUAUUUAAAGAAAUUAAGCAAAAGCUCUGUUAUUAGACUUUUGACUAUGUGAAUUUAAGCAUGGAAGCAGAGGGGUCCAGAAAUGACAAUGAAAACAAUUCAAACCAGAAAACUAUCAACCUAAUUUAUGUACAAAAAAUGGAAAAACAGUUAAAUGUUGCACAUAAACAAAGGACAAUCACUGAAUUAUAGGCUCCUGACUUGGAACAGGCACAUAUAUUAUGAAUGUGGCAGGGUAUAAGGAACUAUGAAAAUGUUUAGUUUUUGUGGUUUGGUUUAUUUUCCGGAUACUGUAAGCAAUAAGGCCACUUUAUUUAGUGAACGGAAUGAUUGUAAGAUGCACAUGUCUGUCUGUGAUAUUUUAUAUGACCGUGACCUCAUUUUCAUUAGUCAAUGAAACACUGCAUUGUUUAUCAUAAUUAUGCUUAUAGUUACAGGUAGAUUAUGUUUGUAGGAUAUGUAACAAUUGUAAGGUGUGCAUGUCUCUCUGGCAGAUUCAUAAAACCAUGACCGCAUUUUAUGGUUCUUUGGUCAAUGCUAAGUUUUCUUGGUUUUGUCAUUUUAUCAGAUAUUAUAAGCAUAGGUCUACUUGUUGUACGGAAUGAAUUCAAGGUGUCAUAUAAAAAAAGAUGUCUGUUUGCCAAGGUUAAUUUUACUAAGACCUCAUUUUCAUAAAACAAUGAUAAUAUUAGACAGCAAGAAUGAGGAUCAAGUCGAAGUUAUAUACAAAUGAGGCAAAAUUUUCAGUUGCCUACUUUUUAUGUAUUAGUAGUUUUUUUUGGUCAUUAAAUGAUAUUGUUUACCCUUUUAUGUGUAGGGCAAGAAUAUUGAAGAUAAAGGGAAACUAUAAACAGAAGAAAUUAUCAACAAACAUAGAUUUACAAAGGUCAACAAAGCCUAAAUGGUAAGUCCACUGUUAAAAAAAGUUUUUAGUCCUUGAGUAAUGAUUAAAUAUUUAUUAAAAUAAAAUGUGGUACGAUAAAUGAGAAAACUAUCCAUCAGAGUUCAAUUAAGUGGAUGUAACCAUUGUAAUUACUUAUUAGAGGCCAGUGAUGACCUGUUAGUAAUGAAAAAACUCAUACCCUAUACAUGAUAUUGUAAUCUAUAGAAGACAACGCUAACAAAAUUUGAAACGAAGCAUCAAUUCAAACUUCAAAUAUACCAGACUAAUUUAUAAAAAAACAAAAUAUUAUGAAAAACAAAAAUGACGGAUAUGAAACCACUGAACUAUGUACAAGCUCCUGAUAUUGGACAGGCAUAUUAUGGCUGGGUUGACAUAAAAAUAAGAAGCAGUCUGAUUUCAAAUAAGACUUUUCUCCAAUAGAGAUCAAAUGACAUUUAAGGAGGCUCGAGGUACAUAAAAAUUUCAGAAAAAUAUUAAAUAUUUUUUUUUUCAUAACUAAUUUUAUUUAUAACUUUAUUAGUUUUUACUUUAUCAUAUGGUACAGAAAUCAUUCUACAAAAUCAAUUCGUUUUGUCCCCAGACAACUUUUAAAAUGUAUAUAUUAUGAAAAAGCUCCAAAUUAUCUCCCUUUGGUGCAGAAAUGCCAUUUUUUGGCAUGAGAAUUGUAAUAUCUUUUCCAGCUCAUCAGUGACCUAUAUUUUUUAUUAUCAUUUUCAACUAACUUUACUUAAACUAAACUAAUGUAAAAUUUAAGCGAUUUCUGUAAUUAAGUUCUUUUUUCAUUUCAAAAUGACCUCUAUUUCUCCUAUUAGUUCAACAGAAAAAAAAGUACCUUUACAAAAAUGUAUAUAUGCUUCUUUCAAAGGCGGAUUGUGAGUGUGAAUGAAUGGUGUCCCCAUUUUUUUUAAUUUAAUUUUUCUAUUUUUCUAUAAAGUAUAAGAUAAAGUUCAUUUAUUAUAGAAAAUUAUAGUGUAACCCUAUAUUAAGAAAAAAAAUUGAUUGAAACCUGCGAGCCCCCUUAAUUUAACAAAAAUAGUUCACUGUACAGCCUUUGACAAUGAGCAAACGCUAUACUGGACAGUGGUUUUAAUAACCAUGAUAACAGCACAACAUUUUAACAAAUUGUAAAAUUUUGUUGCAAUGGGCUUAUGUUCUUAUGUUGUACUGUUAUACCACUGUCCCAGGUUAGGGGGAGGGUUGGGAUCCCGCUAACAUGUUUAACCCCGCCACAUUAUUAAUGUAUGUGCCUGUCCCAAGUCAGGAGCCUGUAAUUCAGUGGUUGACGUUUGUUUAUAUGUUACAUAUUUGUUUUUCUUUCAUUUUUUUACAAAAUAAGGCCGUUCGUUUUCUCGUUUGAAUUGUUUUACAUUGUCUUAUCGGGGCCUUAUAUAGCUGACUAUGCGGUAUGGGCUUUGCUCAUUGUUGAAGGUGGUACGGUGACGUUUAGUUGUUAAUGUCUGUGUCAUUUUGGUCUUUUGUGGAUAGUUGUCUCAUUGGCAAUCAUACCACAUCUUCUUUUUUUAUAUUAACUCAAAAGACUGCAACAAGGAACCAAACAAUAACCAGUAAUAUGUAAAUCAUAGACACAAAGCACUGAAAUAAGAGUACUAACAAUAGAUAUUUAAAUGAAAGUUUAUUAAAAUGUUCAUAAACAUGAUAAAAUAGCCAUUUUAUUGCUGUAUUUCUCUUCACUGAUAAUUUUUGAGUUUUGUGUAUUUGUAGGUCAGACAUUUCGGUUUUCAUGGUCAUCAUUCAACAGAUCAAUACUGAACAGAAAACUUGGAAGAUGAUAUUUUUCUCAAUAGGAGUCAUACCAUCACAAUCAUAGAUGCUCAAGAACUUGACAUGUAAAUGCAACAAUGUAAUUAUCAAUUGAAAGAAGGAACGAAUGAAAAAAAUAUUAGUAUGUUGUUGUCCAAAUAAACCUGCUUUGUCUUCUCAUUUGAAUCGCUCCAUCCAAUAAAGAUGUACGGAGGAAGAUCUUUGAAGAACAGAUUGAAAAAUGUUUUGUCAAAGAAUUGCGGGAAUAUUUUAGUGGAUGAAAUUAUUUAUUGACUUGACUCUUAUAUAGUGGACUGAAUAAUUGUACAUAGCAAGCAGCGAAAAAGCAAACUAAAAUUUUAACACAAAAAGUGUUUAAAUUAUAAAUUUGCAAAUAUAAGCAUAAUAUUAUGUACACCACAAAGGUAUAUAAUUCAAAUUGUUUGCAUAUUCAUGUAUUGCAAUGAAACUAUAACAAAGAAAACCUUACUUCAUGAAAAGAGUAAACUAUUCAGUCAGAAUAUGAAAUAUUUU
This 4478-nucleotide long non-coding RNA is filed under the name Mytilus galloprovincialis (Mediterranean mussel). The record is from RNAcentral. Lineage: Eukaryota; Metazoa; Mollusca; Bivalvia; Mytilida; Mytilidae.